This 253-nucleotide ribosomal RNA is filed under the name uncultured bacterium. Its description in RNAcentral is "partial 16S ribosomal RNA". It matches the Rfam family "Bacterial small subunit ribosomal RNA", at positions 524 to 776 of the family's 1533-position model. The record is from RNAcentral.
UACGUAGGUGGCGAGCGUUAUCCGGAAUCAUUGGGCGUAAAGAGGGAGCAGGCGGCCUGGAGGGUCUAUUGUUAAAAGGCAAUGGCUUAACCAUUGCAAGGCGAAGAAACCGGCAGGCUAGAGUUCUAAAGAGGAUCGUGGAAUUCCAUGUGUAGCGGUGAAAUGCGUAGAUAUAUGGAGGAACACCAGUGGCGAAGGCGACGAUCUGGGAAGAAACAGACGCUGAGUCCCGAAAGCGUGGGGAGCAAAUAGG